RNAcentral lists this unclassified non-coding RNA (220 nucleotides) under uncultured Tomentella. RNAcentral describes it as "sequence contains ITS2". The record is from RNAcentral. Lineage: Eukaryota; Fungi; Basidiomycota; Agaricomycetes; Thelephorales; Thelephoraceae.
ACACCUCAACUCUUCAUGGUUUUCCAUGAUGAGCUUGGACUUUGGGGGACUUGCUGGCCUACAGUCAGCUCCUCUAAAAUAAAUCAGCUUGCCAGUGUUUGGUGGGUAUCGCAGGUGUGAUAACUAUCUACGCUAGUGGUUUUCCACCAAGUAACCUUCAGCGAUGGAGGUUCGCUGGAGCUCACAGAUGUCUCUCCUCAGUGAGGACAGCCCUUUGAAU